Molecule: long non-coding RNA, 2116 nt
Filed under: Brassica napus (rape)
Lineage: Eukaryota; Viridiplantae; Streptophyta; Magnoliopsida; Brassicales; Brassicaceae
Description: long non-coding RNA (BNAP_LNC008818)
Source: RNAcentral
UACCGGGAUCCAUACCGGACUCGAGAUGAUGAUCAGCGGAAGAAAGACAACGAAGCCUAUCCCGACGGCCGUCACGGUUAGGCCUAGGAGGAAGAGGAGGAUUCCGCCGGAUAUGAAGAGAGCGAGGAGACCAAAGAGCUGUGAGGAGGUUGGUGAAUGAGAUCGGAGAAGGCGGACAAGAGAAGCGUAAGGGCUGUUUCUUUCGGUGGUGUUGCUGCUACCGUAGAUGGGCCAGUAUUGGGCGUCGCCGCGAGAGAACGUUUCCGCCAUUGUAGAGUGACUUGUUGCUAUUGUGCGGUGACAGAGAACAGAAAUAGGAAAGGGGUAAAAAAAAACAAAUGGAGGACAAAAUUUUCAGCUUUGAGGUGGCAUUCAUGCAAACACGUGGAGAUCGGUCUCUGUUUUCAUGUUUGUCUUAAAUCGAGAAUUUGGUUUAAAUCCGGUUUAACUAAAAAUGAAUUGUUGGGAUUGGUUCGGUUUAUUUGCCACCAAAAGUAAAAGGACCAAGUGUCAAUAUAAAGAACACUGAACACACCCUCAAGUUACAAGAAGAGAAAACAGCAAGCAAGAAAGCUACAAUACCGAAUCAGUAGUAGCCAACGCCUCUAAGCUCAGCAGAACUUGGCUGCUGCAUAUCACUAGCUUUACCUAGAAACACAACUCGGCCUGCAUAAAGAAGAAACAAAGAUCAAAAUCUGACUUUUUUCAAAUAAAUCUGAGUGAGUAAAAACGAGAUCUUGAAGUUGAGCCAGUUCAUACCGUUUCUACGAAUGGCUACUUCUCUAAUACGUCGAACCAAACCAGUAACAGGAUCAGUGAAAAUCUUCGUCUCCAGAUAAGUCUUAAACCCUAAACCUAAACCGUAAACCUUAACCCAAACCCUAUAGCAUUUAAGUUCGGGGUUUGGGUUUAGGGUUUACCGUUUGGAUUUUAGGUCUAGAAUUUGGGUUUAGGGUAUAGGUUUUGAGUUUAGGAUUUACGGUUUGGGUUUAGGAUUUACGGUUUGGGUUUAGGGUCUAGGAUUAGAGUUUAGGAUAUAGGGUUUUGGGUUUAGAAUUUACGGUUUGGGUUUAGGAUUUACGGUUUGGGUUUAGGGUCUAGGAUUAGAGUUUAGGGUAUAGGGUUUUGGUUUAGGUGUUUGGAUUUGGGUUUAGAAUUUAGGGUAUAGAGUUUAGAAUUUAAAUUUUAGGAUUUAGGGUUUCGCUGGACGCAUUAGCGUCGUUAAAAUUAAUAUUUUUUUAUUUUUUGUAGCUAUUUUUUAUUUAAUUUAAUAUUUUUUAAUUAAUUAUCUAUGUGGAAAAUUGAUUGGUCAUAAAUGGUGAGGUGAAUUUAAAGGUUCACCCUAGGGGGUGAACUUUAGUUCUGUCCCAAAAAUAUAUACUAGUACAUUUCAGGUGACGAACACGCACGCCAAAAAUCUUAUAAAGCUUAUACAUAACCAGAUAUAUUCAUUUUUAUUAUUUAUUAAUGGAAACAAAAUAACAAAAUGUUAUAGUAGUAUAUUUAUAUUACCAUAUGCAUGAACCAUGUUUAUCCUCCAUACACCGAACAGGUUAUCUUACCCUGAACCAGAUUAUAACGACCGGUUAAGGUUAAGGUUAAGCACCAGGUGCUGCAUCUUUAGCCCUACCGUGGAAAUACCCACCGUACUCUCUAGCAUAAUCUUUGACGUGAGAGGCCGUGUCAUAGAUCCGACCACGUGCAUAAUCCAUUUGAUCCGAUCCAACCGGGUGCCUUCCACGGAAAUAACGAUACGCCCACGAUACGACAGCCAACGUUCCAACAAGAAAACCGGCCACCGAUAAGAACCCGCCAACCCCGAUAAAUACCGGGAUCCAUACCGGACUCGAGAUGAUGAUCAGCGGAAGAAAGACAACGAAGCCUAUCCCGACGGCCGUCACGGUUAGGCCUAGGAGGAAGAGGAGGAUUCCGCCGGAUAUGAAGAGAGCGAGGAGACCAAAGAGCUGUGAGGAGGUUGGUGAAUGAGAUCGGAGAAGGCGGACAAGAGAAGCGUAAGGGCUGUUUCUUUCGGUGGUGUUGCUGCUACCGUAGAUGGGCCAGUAUUGGGCGUCGCCGCGAGAGAACGUUUCCGCCAUUGUAGAGUGACUUGUUGCUA